AAGGACUGCACCUGCAGGGUUUUCAGAUAAGACUCUGCAACAGCCUUUGCUUGACUCCUACUGAUCAUACCAACACCAGUUUUCCUCCUUAGUAGAGCCAAACAACCGACAAGGGCACCAUGCAACGCUUUCCAAUCUGCCAGCCGCUCUGUGAAGAACUCCAUCAAGCUGCUUAUUGCAGUAUCACCCAACGGCUUCGACAUUAGUCGCAUCAACAGCUCUCCAAGUAAGAGG
Molecule: unclassified non-coding RNA, 234 nt
Filed under: Hevea brasiliensis (rubber tree)
Lineage: Eukaryota; Viridiplantae; Streptophyta; Magnoliopsida; Malpighiales; Euphorbiaceae
Source: RNAcentral